AUAUAACCUAUUGGUUAGAGCGUCCGCCUCGGAUGCGGGAGUUCGUGGGUUCGAUCCCCGGUCGAAACA
Non-coding RNA from Potamilus streckersoni, 69 nucleotides. Lineage: Eukaryota; Metazoa; Mollusca; Bivalvia; Unionida; Unionidae. The record is from the annotation of a GenBank genome assembly.